GGCGUUAAGUUGCAGGGUAUAGACCCGAAACCCGGUGAUCUAGCCAUGGGCAGGUUGAAGGUUGGGUAACACUAACUGGAGGACCGAACCGACUAAUGUUGAAAAAUUAGCGGAUGACCUGUGGCUGGGGGUGAAAGGCCAAUCAAACCGGGAGAUAGCUGGUUCUCCCCGAAAGCUAUUUAGGUAGCGCCUCGUGAAUUCAUCUCCGGGGGUAGAGCACUGUUUCGGCUAGGGGGCCAUCCCGGCUUACCAACCCGAUGCAAACUGCGAAUACCGGAGAAUGUUAUCACGGGAGACACACGGCGGGUGCUAACGUCCGUCGUGAAGAGGGAAACAACCCAGACCGCCAGCUAAGGUCCCAAAGUCAUGGUUAAGUGGGAAACGAUGUGGGAAGGCCCAGACAGCCAGGAUGUUGGCUUAGAAGCAGCCAUCAUUUAAAGAAAGCGUAAUAGCUCACUGGUCGAGUCGGCCUGCGCGGAAGAUGUAACGGGGCUAAACCAUGCACCGAAGCUGCGGCAGCGACGCUGAUGCGUUGUUGGGUAGGGGAGCGUUCUGUAAGCCUGUGAAGGUGGCCUGUGAGGGUUGCUGGAGGUAUCAGAAGUGCGAAUGCUGACAUAAGUAACGAUAAAGCGGGUGAAAAGCCCGCUCGCCGGAAGACCAAGGGUUCCUGUCCAACGUUAAUCGGGGCAGGGUGAGUCGACCCCUAAGGCGAGGCCGAAAGGCGUAGUCGAUGGGAAACGGGUUAAUAUUCCCGUACUUGGUGUUACUGCGAAGGGGGGACGGAGAAGGCUAUGUUGGCCGGGCGACGGUU
This 811-nucleotide ribosomal RNA is filed under the name Salmonella enterica. RNAcentral describes it as "partial 23S ribosomal RNA". It matches the Rfam family "Bacterial large subunit ribosomal RNA", at positions 691 to 1503 of the family's 2925-position model. Lineage: Bacteria; Pseudomonadati; Pseudomonadota; Gammaproteobacteria; Enterobacterales; Enterobacteriaceae. The record is from RNAcentral.